Molecule: long non-coding RNA, 150 nt
Organism: Lampris incognitus (smalleye Pacific opah)
Lineage: Eukaryota; Metazoa; Chordata; Actinopteri; Lampriformes; Lampridae
Exons: 3
Source: RefSeq, a predicted model, not a curated record
UGGUGGUGGUGUGCCGUGGGCGCGUCCGGAAUUACCUGGAAUUUCCAAAACUUCAGGAACGUCUUAGCACAUCUUCCUCCAUGAAAACGGCACCCAGCACAGCUUUGUUUAGAAGCACUGAAGUUACACACCACACACGGAUGUGUGCCG